GGCUCCAUAGCUCAGGGGAUAGAGCGUUGGUUUCCUAAACCAUGCGUCGCAGGUUCGAAUCCUGCUGGGGCCA
This 73-nucleotide transfer RNA is filed under the name Paraliobacillus ryukyuensis. It matches the Rfam family "tRNA". From Rfam's summary of the family: Transfer RNA (tRNA) molecules are approximately 80 nucleotides in length. The record is from Rfam by way of RNAcentral. RNAcentral also lists the same sequence under 1 other name. Lineage: Bacteria; Bacillati; Bacillota; Bacilli; Caryophanales; Bacillaceae.